CGCAAGGCUAAAACUCAAAGAAAUUGACGGGGACCCGCACAAGCGGUGGAGUAUGUGGCUUAAUUCGAUGCAAACCGCGAAGAACCUUACCUGGCCUUGACAUGCAUUGUGUCGUCGGUUGAAAGCCGGCUAGUCCUGGAAACAGGACGCUUUGCACAGGUGCUGCAUGGCUGUCGUCAGCUCGUGUCGUGAGAUGUUGGGUUAAGUCCCGCAACGAGCGCAACCCUUGUGGUCAGUUACUAACCGGCUUAGCCGGAGGACUCUGGCCAGACUGCCCUGUCAAACGGGGAGGAAGGUGGGACCGACGUCAAGUCAGUAUGGCCCUUAUGGCCAGGGCUGCACACGUACUACAAUGCCCGGUACAAUGUGAACCGAAACCGCGAGGUGGAGGAAUCGCUCUUGAAACCGGGCACAGUUCGGAUUGAGUCGCAACUGACUCCAUGAAUCGGAAUCGCUAGUAAUGGCGUAUCAGCAACGACGCCGUGAAUACGUCCCGGGUCUGUACACACCGCCCGUCACAUCAUGAAGUCUCCGUACCCGAAGCACGUGCGCCA
This 554-nucleotide ribosomal RNA is filed under the name uncultured organism. Its description in RNAcentral is "bacterial SSU rRNA". It matches the Rfam family "Bacterial small subunit ribosomal RNA", at positions 887 to 1437 of the family's 1533-position model. The record is from RNAcentral.